GUUCCUCCAUGUUCUCAAAAUCAAAACCGCCUAUCUCAUUCCUCUUGACUAUCCCAACAUGAUAUAUAGUCACUAAUUUAUCCAUCUAUUCCAAAAAAAUAAACAAGAACUCAUCAUUUUAUUGAACCAUUGUGAAAAGGCAAUAAUCUAGCAUGUCUGCGAUGCCUAAUGACCAAUGAACUAGUUGAAUUUUUUAUACGAUCCCUCUCUUAAUUCCACUAUAUUUCUACGUAUGCCAAUAUACAUGGAGUUCAAAAAUGUAAGGGAAAUCACAUCUACGGGAUGCACAAAUCAACUAUACAUGCACCUAGAGUACUAAUACACACAUCUAAACCUUCAAUCUCACUACGAACCGAUGGGAAAUUCACAUUUUAACCUAGGGUAUCACUUGGGAAAUUCACGGAAUGUGGCUAUAAGAAGAAAUUCCAAUGGACAAAAUCAACAGGGGAAGGGAGGUUACCUUGCUUGAUCCGGAUUUGAACUCGCCCGAGCUCGAAUCGGUGGAGAAUGGCUAGAUCUAGAAGGGGAAGGGAGGAGGGAGGGGGCACCAACUGCUCCUCUCUAUUCAAAAAGAAUAAACAGAGAGGAAGGGAGGAGGGAGGGGGCACCGACCUCUCAAAAGAACAAAUACAGAGGGAGGAAGGGGGAGGCGACGGCGGGCUGGCACCGUGGGAGCGGAUAAGGUUUCGGCAGAACGGCGCCAUGCCCCUUAGCGUCGUGUGGGAACAGCACGAUGCCGUGGUCUUUAGGGUCGUGUAUUUCGGCACGGCGCCACAGGUGUACUUUGACGUGGCAAUGCACGGUGCCAAAGAUCAUGGUGUUGUGCCUUUAACAUAUGGCGCUAAGUGAUGUGGCGCCGUGAGUAAGGUCCAUUUUUGGGAAUCUUUCCGUGUGGUCCAGAUGUAAAAGAUUUACCAAAAAAGGACAAAAAUGAAAAAAAAAUAUACACUCCUCUCUCGCCUAUCCCUUUCCAUUCCUUGGUAACCGUAGGUAACUGCCAUUCCAUCCUAGUCGCAUGUCGUGGCAAUUCCAUUCUACCCACUUAAACGUCAAAUUUUAUUUUUGAUAUGUCCUUAUUGCACCAUCGUUAGUUCGUAAUUUACUUUCCGUCCGACAAUUUACAUGACGCUCUAGGCUUUGUCUUGUUACUUUCUAGGACAAUUGCUAAAUUAUAAUUUGGUUAGCACGCAGCCACAUUUCACAGAGCGCUUUGCUUCGAUGAUUGUGCGAUGUUCGUUGGUUAUUUAUUUUUUCAGACUUAGAACAUUGUUCGUUGUUUGUCUUGUUUGCAAAAUUUGAAAGAAAUUACUAAUUAUCCGUCUAUAAGUCAGGUUGGGUUACAAGGUGUCUUGUUUGCUGAGUACAUUUGCAAGUGAACUGCUCUAGACAAGUAGUAAUGGUUUGACAACUACGGAGGGCGUGUAACUGAAGCGAGAAAUUUAGAGCAUUUGAUCUGGAGCUACCUCUGUCGUUGCUUGCCUCGGCAGAAGAAGCUUGUACGGUCGGCAAUCCCAUAAAAUUGUGCUGUCAGGUGCCCUACUGUAAUGAACAUUUUUUUUUAUCUCCUCUUGAUUUUAGUACAAAACAAAAGAGCUCGCGCUUCUUGCUUUGCUGAGUCCAAGAAAUGCCACACCUCAGAAAUUUUAAUUAUGAACUGGCUAUAAAUGGGAUUUCUCCUGAUUCGAAGGAAACUAGCUAGACGGUUUUCAAAUCUUUGAGUGGUAAAGACUCUUUGUUCCAGCUGAGCUCCUGAGGGACGACAGUGCAAGGCCUUGUUUACUUGACAAAUUUGGGAGGUGCCAAAUUACUGUUACAGCACUGUAGCACACUGUAGCGUUUCGUUUGUAUUUGUGAAUUAUUAUCCAAAUAUUGACUAAUUAGGCUUAAAAGAUUCGUCUCGCAAAGUACAACAAAACUGUGCAAUUAGUUUUUAAUUUCGUCUACAUUUAGUACUCCAUGCAUGUACCGCAAGUUUGAUGUGAUGGGGAAUCUUCUUUUUGCAUAGUGUCAAAGUUAGGAGUUGGGGGUGAAGUAAACAAGGGGCAAGUUUCUCUUGUAGCGAGUACAGAAAGUCAAAAUCCGUAAGACCACUUUAUAACUGUACGACUACAAGUCGUAGUAGCUGUCUAGCAGCCAAGGAUAGUCUGAGUGCGCACUGUUAUCAAGAUUGUCAUGUAAUUUUUCCGACGAAAUGAAACUAUCACUCUCAGUGCACAGUUUAUAAAUAGCCUGGAUCAUUUAAUUUUUACAUUGUGUUAUGAUCAAAUGUAUCAUGCUAUGAAACCAUAACAUGCUCAGUGCAAGUUUCAUGAGGUUUCAUAAGACCUGGUAGCUGUGCCAACAGUUUUAUAAAUAGCCUGGAUCAUUUUAUUUUUACAUUGAGUUAUGAUCAAAUGUAUAAUGAUCAAAUGUAUCAUGCCAUGAAACCAUAACAUGCUUAGUGCAAGUUUCAUUAGGUUUCAUAAGACUUGGUAGCUGUGUCAAGUGGGUUUCAUCGAAAUGAAACUCCCCUCCCCUCAUAAUUAACGUCAGCAGUUUUACUGAUGUGAUAUGUGAUUUAAUACCUAUAAAAUCCCAUAACACUCUCAUUGAGACUGGACUAAUAACACUCUCAUUGAGACUGGACUAAAAAACCCCAUAACACUCUCACUCUCAUUGAGACUGGACUCAAAGUGACUAAAUCACAUAAGCAAGACCACUUUGCAAUCUGAAGAAGCAAUGUCACCACGUGCCAAGGUCCCCUUUGCACCCUUGCAACUUUUCUUUGUGGGUUAAAAGAAUAUGCAAGGCAUGUGACCCCGAAAGCUAAAACUUGGACAGACUGAAAGCGAAACAAUGGAGUACUAAACUCCAUGAUGCAUUAUAGUAUCACAUGUAAACACACACUAUCCGAUUCCACUGACCACUAUCAUUACAAAAUGAUCACCACAACCCAAUAAACAAUCCAAAGAGCUACAUCACACACCUCUAAGCCUUCCUUUUUUCCCCUUCUUCUCUGAAGAAUCCAGCAACAAUAUAUAUAUAAAUAAAGUAAAAUGGCCCUUCUUAUUUUCUGCACCAACAAGGGACACGAAUUGGACAAAGAAAAGAAGAGGGUUCCAAUAAGUCACAAGAAAAACAUAACACAUCAGCGCACACCUUAGGCCCCCAACGCCAGCGCCGCGGCCACCAUCGCAGCCGCGGUGCCCCACCGGGUGAGCAUGGAUGGCGCGGCGCCGGCCUUGUCCGCGGCGUCGUCGGCUGAGUCGUCGGCAGCUGGGCCGUCAGCGCUGUCGUCGUCCGAGGGCGCGGCGGCCGCCGAUGUGCUUCCAGGCUUCUUCUUGGUCUUCUUCUUGGGCACCUCCGGUGCGGGCGACGGCGCCAGGUCCUCAGCUUUUUUGGGCUUGAACAACUCCUUGGGCUGCAGGAACUUGGAGACGGCGUAGAUGGCGAGAGGGUCAUCGUCCCUGACGGUGGCCUGGAUGGUGGAGGUGGUGACCGUGGUGUCGAGCGUGACGGUGUCUGCCUCGGUCUGCGCUUCGUAGGUGUAGUCCUUCUUGGCAACGCUGGUGCUGGCGAGCGUGGUCACCUUGCCUUUAUUGGACUUGAGGAACUGCAUGGAGUAGUAGUCCGGCACGGCGUGGUAGAGCAGGAUGGCCGUCUUGGCCUUGGCCGUCAGGUUCUUGAACUUUGGCAUGAAGGCGGCCACGGCGGCGUCGACAGGGCAGAAGAGCGUGAGCGCAGUGUCCUUGGUUCCGUUGAUGGUAUCGAAGGCUUUGGCAUCGGCAGCUAGGAG
Molecule: long non-coding RNA, 3775 nt
Filed under: Setaria italica (foxtail millet)
Lineage: Eukaryota; Viridiplantae; Streptophyta; Magnoliopsida; Poales; Poaceae
Description: long non-coding RNA (SITA_LNC004521)
Source: RNAcentral